GCAGGGAUAGCUCAGUGGUACGAGCGCAUGCUUAGCAAGCAUGGGGUCCUGGGUUCAAUCUCCAGUACCUCCA
This 73-nucleotide transfer RNA is filed under the name Camelus bactrianus (Bactrian camel). It matches the Rfam family "tRNA". Rfam says of the family: Transfer RNA (tRNA) molecules are approximately 80 nucleotides in length. Lineage: Eukaryota; Metazoa; Chordata; Mammalia; Artiodactyla; Camelidae. RNAcentral also lists the same sequence under 2 other names. The record is from Rfam by way of RNAcentral.